AGAGUUUGAUCAUGGCUCAGGAUAAACGCUGGCGGCGUGCCUAACACAUGCAAGUCGAACGAUCCCGCAAGGGAGAGUGGCGGAAGGGUGAGUAACACGUGGGAAUCCACCUCCUCGCAGGGAACAACCUCUCGAAAGAGAGGCUAAUACCCAAAAGGGUCAGAAAUGAUCAGAGUCGAAAGGCGUGAGGAGAGGAGCCCGCGGCCCAUCAGCUAGUUGGUGAGGUAAUGGCUUACCAAGGCUACGACGGGUAGGGGAUCUGAGAGGAUGUCCCCCACACUGGAACUGAAACACGGUCCAGACGCCUACGGGUGGCAGCAGUGAGGAAUAUUGGACAAUGGGCGAAAGCCCGAUCCAGCAACGCCGCGUGGAGGAUGAAGGCCUUCGGGUCGUAAACUUCUUUAGAGGGAGACGAGAAAGGACGGUAUCCCUAGAAUAAGCGACGGCAAACUACGUG
Molecule: ribosomal RNA, 457 nt
Filed under: uncultured bacterium
Lineage: Bacteria
Description: bacterial SSU rRNA
Rfam family: Bacterial small subunit ribosomal RNA
Source: RNAcentral